GUCAAGAUAGUGGCCAAAGAGGAAGUUAUAAAGCAGACUAGGAAAUUCUCCUAAAUAUAUCUCCAACAGAGUAAACAAGAGAUUAGGAAACUUGUCCUUCAUUCAAUUACACCUGGCAGGUGAAUGAGAGUGGAGCAGUAAGAGAUGCUGCUUCCAGUAGUUUUCUGCCUCUCAAUCCUUGCUAUUCAAAGUAUGGUCCACAGUCCAGCAGCUUUGGCAUCACCUGGGAACUUGAUGGAAAUGCAGAGAAGUUCAAAUUCCCACCACCGAUAUACUGAAUUAGAAACAUCUGCCCUUCAAGAAGAUCCACUGGUGAUAAUAUGCAUAUUAAAGUUUGAGUAGCACUGCCAUUCUAUAUCAGCUUGCAAAAUGAAAGCAAGAAGAAACAAAACAAAGCAUUAGCCAGUUUGGAUUUUCUGAAGUGCACUAAAUGUCAAACUCAAGAAAAGGAUUCUAUUCUGACAAGCACAAAACCCUGCACCAAGUUGAACCUGUCCUUUGUGAUGAGGCUGUUGAACAGAAGAGCAGCAUAGCAGUCUGUCUAUUCUUGCUCCACAUUCAGCUAAAUGCCAACUCCGAUCCCUUUGAGAUGGUGAACAGGCUGAACCCAGGGAUCGUGUCAUCCCUCAGUAUCCAGACUUCUUCAGAGAACCAUGUGGUGAAACUUCUUGAUUAAGGUCAUGUUCUUAGUCUAUAGCAUCAUUUUUUUUUUGUAAG
Molecule: long non-coding RNA, 717 nt
Filed under: Pan paniscus (pygmy chimpanzee)
Lineage: Eukaryota; Metazoa; Chordata; Mammalia; Primates; Hominidae
Description: lncRNA (ENSPPAG00000044225.1)
Source: RNAcentral